CAUUAUCAGCUCAUGCUUCAGCGCUCUGCGAGUGUUUAUAGUCCUGUGACUUUAACACUUCAUGACUGAGAGCUGCUGCUCAGCGACUUCACCCACAGCAACCAUGAGUUUGAUCAGCGUCUUCAUCUGCACACUGGCCCUCUGCGCUCGAGGAUCCAGAGGUCAGGUGACUGUGACUCAGAGUCCUGCAGUGAAAUCUGUUUCUCCAGGAGACACACUCACCAUCAGCUGUAAAACCAGUCCUGCUGUUUACUAUAGUGGUGGUUAUUAUUUGUCCUGGUAUCAGCAGAAAGCUGGAGAAGCUCCGAAACUCCUGAUCUAUGCUGCUAACAGAAGAGAAUCAGGUAUUCCAGCUCGUUUCAGUGGCAGUGGAUCUGGAUCUGAUUUCACUCUGACCAUCAGUGGAGUCCAGACUGAAGAUGCUGGAGAUUAUUACUGUCAGAGUGCCCAUGUGAUCAGUAGUAGCUGGGUGUUCACACAGUGUUAGAGCGUCGUACAAAAACCUGGGUGUGUGUGAGUGCUGCAGCUGGGACCUACUGCAGGUGCUGAGGGGGACGAUGUGAUCCAGCACAAUCACACACACACACACACACACACACACACACACACACACAGUGUAGCAGUGGAAGCUAACAGCAUGUUCAUGAAUCAUUUUCCCCAGAGGUCGCAUGUACAGGGAAGAAAGCAGUGUGUGUAGAACAGAGCUGUCUCAGUCCUG
Neoarius graeffei (lesser salmon catfish) is the source of this 718-nucleotide non-coding RNA. The record is from the annotation of a RefSeq genome assembly. Lineage: Eukaryota; Metazoa; Chordata; Actinopteri; Siluriformes; Ariidae.